Hyaena hyaena (striped hyena) is the source of this 2158-nucleotide long non-coding RNA. RefSeq lists it as uncharacterized. NCBI's taxonomy places the organism in Eukaryota, Metazoa, Chordata, Mammalia, Carnivora, Hyaenidae. The record is from RefSeq and is a predicted model, not a curated record. The transcript has 3 exons.
CAGGCUCCAGGCUCUGAGCUGUCAGCACAGAGCCCGAGAAAAUGGGCACGUACAGCUGCCUCAGCCUAAGAAUGUGGUGAUGAGCAGCUCAGACUCUUCUAGGGUGAGGAUCCAGUUAACCUUCCUGUGUGGAAGUCAUCUACACCAGCAGAAGUGUGAUGCGAAGGAUCAAUUGUUCCUGGUUCUACAGCAGACUACCUUUGGACUCAAAUUGGAACACUGGCUUUUCUGAGUCUCUAGCCAGUUGGCUCACCCUAUAGAUUUUGGACUAAAUCAUUUAAUUAAUCAUAUAUAUGAUAUAUAUAAUACAUACGUAUUAUGUAUUAUACAUAUUAUGUAUUAUAAUAUACAUAUAUAUAUAUUCUCCUGUUUGUUCCAUUUCCCUUGAGAACCCUGACUAAUAUGACUACUUCAUCUAGUAAAGAAUAAAUAUCACUCUAUAUAGCAAAGGAUGUAAUUAACUCAAGGAUUCUGAGUGGAGGAUUUAUCUUGGAUAGUCUGCAUGGGCUCUAAAUUCAAUGGCAAAUGUCCUAACGAGAGUGAGGCAGAGGGAGAUUUAACAGAAGGAAGCAGUGGAGGCCAUGUGACUGGAGAGGCAGAGAUUGGAGUCAUAAAGCCACAAGUCCAGGAAUGCCAAUAGCCACAGCAAGACGCAGCAGCAGAACUGAGCUCACAGAAAUUUCUGUUGCUUUAAGCCACCCUGAACUAGAAAUCCAUAGAUGUGUUGCCCAAGCCUCAAAAUGUGGUAAGAUGUACUCUCAGGUUCCUUUAAGGAUCAAAUGCACUGCCUCUCCUCCAAAGACCAACCACACAUGCGGGUUUGGGAUAAAUUCCAGUUAGCAGUUGCCAUGUUGCUCCUGAGACCACCGUGCCUCUGUGAGCUUCAGGGUCACUUUCCUAGAUUCACUCCCAUGUUACAGAGAUGCCAUGAGUUCUCUUUCAGCAUUCUCCACUGUCCCUCCUUGAGGGUGGACCUCUUUCUGGACCACUCAGGUCCAUCUCAAGUGUUUGUGUCUCUAAGUGGACAUAGUAGUGUCUCUAAGUGGACAGGAUCUAGUUCUUUCCCCCAGCACAUCACGUGAUUUGUGUUGGAGCCAUCCUGCGCAGAACCACUUGCCAAAAAUAUGACAGUGCAAGAGCCUGAGCAGCUGAAAGGACUUUACACUUAACUUACAACUAUUCUUACAGCAUCAGUCGGCAACCUGUUAGAUAUGCAAAUGUUGGGCCCCUCCCUAGAACUAGGAAGUCAGAAACCCUAGUAUUAGAGGCCCAGCGAGCUAUGUUUCAACAAGCCCUCCAGUGAUUUUCUGAUGAUAUUCUGGCUUAGGUGGUUAUUGACAACAUUUUCAUAAUAAAUUUACACUUGGAUGACGAUUUCUGUGGCUUUUUAUAAAGUAAACAAUAACAGCAGAAAACAUUUCUUCUUGGGUGAGCAUAACUGCAAGCAGAAACAAGAAGUACCAGAAAGAAAAGAUAAAUAAAGUAAAUUGCAAUGAUUAAGAUCAUGUAUGAUUCAUUACCUACUUUACAGAUUUGGCCAUAAUUAAUUUUUGUAGUUUAAAUAGAUACUGAGAAAAGCCUAGCUGGGUAUCUGUUCCUAUAACCCCCCUCUUUAACACAUUGUUCUUCAACUUUCUGAUUCAAAAUCCAAGACAAAUAAUUACUUUUAGAAUGGCCAAAAAUUAUGUAUCAGCACAGUCACUAGCACUUAAAAGUCCUGAUUUAAAUCUCAAUUCAACCAUUCACUGGUCUAAUAAUCUCAGACAAGUUUCUUACAAUGUCCCAGUUCUUGGAAAUAUUAAAAUAGCUUGAUGAUAUCUACCUUAUUAUUGUAUUGUAGAUUCUGUAAUAAAAUCAUGAAUACAAAGAAUAAGAGAAUAUGUGGCAUAUAAUAAGCACUCAGUAAUUAAUAGGUACUAUUUAUUUUAAGCCUCAAAAAAAAUACCUUCUCUCUCCCUCUCUCUCUCUCUUUCUCUCUCUCUUUCCUUCAUGGUCUGUGUCUCCUGACAAUUGUAAUCUCUCCCAUUUUCUCUUUUAUUAUUGUCAAACACAGAGAAUAUAAAUAUAUGAGAUGGCUGGGGAGACUUGGCAGUCUUUUCAUAUUUACUUGGUGUGUUAGAUGCAAAUUCAAUUUAUGGUUAUCUCACUAAGAAUAUGA